This 499-nucleotide ribosomal RNA is filed under the name uncultured organism. Its description in RNAcentral is "bacterial SSU rRNA". It matches the Rfam family "Bacterial small subunit ribosomal RNA", at positions 28 to 507 of the family's 1533-position model. The record is from RNAcentral.
GACGAACGCUGGCGGCGCGCCUAACACAUGCAAGUCGAACGGAUCAUUUCUCGGCACCGAGGGAAGCAGGGGACUGCUUAACUGGGUGUUGAGAAAUGGUUAGUGGCGGACGGGUGAGUAACACGUGAGCAACCUGCCUUACAGAGGGGGAUAACACCGGGAAACUGGUGCUAAUACCGCAUGAAAUGGUGAGUGGACAUCCACAUACCAUCAAAGAUUUAUCGCUGUAAGAUGGGCUCGCGUCCGAUUAGGUAGUUGGUGAGGUAACGGCCCACCAAGCCUGCGAUCGGUAGCCGGACUGAGAGGUUGAACGGCCACAUUGGGACUGAGACACGGCCCAGACUCCUACGGGAGGCAGCAGUGGGGGAUAUUGCACAAUGGGGGAAACCCUGAUGCAGCGACGCCGCGUGAGGGAAGACGGUUUUCGGAUUGUAAACCUCUGUCUUCGGGGACGAACGAAAUGACGGUACCCGAGGAGGAAGCCACGGCUAACUACGUG